GACGAACGCUGGCGGCGUGCUUAACACAUGCCAGUCGAACGGAAAGGCCCUGCUUUUUUGGGGUUCUCGAGUGGCGAACGGGUGAGUAACACGUGAGUAACCUGCCCUUGACUUUGGGAUAACUUCAGGAAACUGGGGCUAAUACCGGAUAGGAGCUCCUGCUGCAUGGUGGGGGUUGGAAAGUUUCGGCGGUUGGGGAUGGACUCGCGGCUUAUCAGCUUGUUGGUGGGGUAGUGGCUUACCAAGGCUUUGACGGGUAGCCGGCCUGAGAGGGUGACCGGCCACAUUGGGACUGAGAUAAGGCCCAGACUCCUACGGGAGGCAGCAGUGGGGAAUAUUGCACAAUGGGCGGAAGCCUGAUGCAGCAACGCCGCGUGCGGGAUGACGGCCUUCGGGUUGUAAACCGCUUUCGCCUGUGACGAAGCGUGAGUGACGGUAAUGGGUAAAGAAGCACCGGCUAACUACGUG
RNAcentral lists this ribosomal RNA (468 nucleotides) under uncultured bacterium. Its description in RNAcentral is "partial 16S ribosomal RNA". It matches the Rfam family "Bacterial small subunit ribosomal RNA", at positions 28 to 507 of the family's 1533-position model. The record is from RNAcentral.